Molecule: ribosomal RNA, 497 nt
Filed under: uncultured bacterium
Lineage: Bacteria
Description: partial 16S ribosomal RNA
Rfam family: Bacterial small subunit ribosomal RNA
Source: RNAcentral
GAUGAACGCUGGCGGCGUGCCUAAUACAUGCAAGUCGAGCGAACAGACGAGGAGCUUGCUCCUCUGACGUUAGCGGCGGACGGGUGAGUAACACGUGGAUAACCUACCUAUAAUACUGGGAUAACUUCGGGAAACCGGAGCUAAUACCGGAUAAUAUAUUGAACCGCAUGGUUCAAUAGUGAAAGACGGUUUUGCUGUCACUUAUAGAUGGAUCCGCGCCGCAUUAGCUAGUUGGUAAGGUAACGGCUUACCAAGGCAACGAUGCGUAGCCGACCUGAGAGGGUGAUCGGCCACACUGGAACUGAGACACGGUCCAGACUCCUACGGGAGGCAGCAGUAGGGAAUCUUCCGCAAUGGGCGAAAGCUUGACGGAGCAACGCCGCGUGAGUGAUGAAGGUCUUCGGAUCGUAAAACUCUGUUAUUAGGGAAGAACAAAUGUGUAAGUAGCUAUGCACGUCUUGACGGUACCUAAUCAGAAAGCCACGGCUAACUACGUG